RNAcentral lists this ribosomal RNA (492 nucleotides) under uncultured bacterium. RNAcentral describes it as "partial 16S ribosomal RNA". It matches the Rfam family "Bacterial small subunit ribosomal RNA", at positions 29 to 507 of the family's 1533-position model. The record is from RNAcentral.
AGUGAACGCUGGCGGUAGGCCUAACACAUGCAAGUCGAACGGCAGCACAGUAAGAGCUUGCUCUUACGGGUGGCGAGUAGCGGACGGGUGCGGAAUACAUCGGAAUCUACCUUUUCGUGGGGGAUAACGUAGGGAAACUUACGCUAAUACCGCAUACGCCCUACGGGUGAAAGUAGGGGAUCUUCGGACCUUGCGCGAUUGAAUGAGCGGAUGUCGGAUUAGCUAGUUGGCGGGGUAAAGGCCCACCAAGGCGACGAUCCGUAGCUGGUCUGAGAGGAUGAUCAGCCACACUGGAACUGAGACACGGUCCAGACUCCUACGGGAGGCAGCAGUGGGGAAUAUUGGACAAUGGGCGCAAGCCUGAUCCAGCCAUACCGCGUGGGUGAAGAAGGCCUUCGGGUUGUAAAGCCCUUUUGUUGGGAAAGAAAAGCAGCAGGUUAAUACCCCGCUGUUCUGACGGUACCCAAAGAAUAAGCACCGGCUAACUUCGUG